AUUGAACGCUGGCGGCAGGCCUAACACAUGCAAGUCGAGCGGAAACGAGUUAUCUGAACCUUCGGGGGACGAUAACGGCGUCGAGCGGCGGACGGGUGAGUAAUGCCUAGGAAAUUGCCCUGAUGUGGGGGAUAACCAUUGGAAACGAUGGCUAAUACCGCAUAAUGCCUUCGGGCCAAAGAGGGGGACCUUCGGGCCUCUCGCGUCAGGAUAUGCCUAGGUGGGAUUAGCUAGUUGGUGAGGUAAAGGCUCACCAAGGCGACGAUCCCUAGCUGGUCUGAGAGGAUGAUCAGCCACACUGGAACUGAGACACGGUCCAGACUCCUACGGGAGGCAGCAGUGGGGAAUAUUGCACAAUGGGCGCAAGCCUGAUGCAGCCAUGCCGCGUGUGUGAAGAAGGCCUUCGGGUUGUAAAGCACUUUCAGUCGUGAGGAAGGCGGUACAGUUAAUAGCUGUAUUGUUUGACGUUAGCGACAGAAGAAGCACCGGCUAACUCCGUGCCAGCAGCCGCGGUAAUACGGAGGGUGCGAGCGUUAAUCGGAAUUACUGGGCGUAAAGCGCAUGCAGGUGGUUUGUUAAGUCAGAUGUGAAAGCCCGGGGCUCAACCUCGGAAUAGCAUUUGAAACUGGCAGACUAGGGUACUGUAGAGGGGGGUAGAAUUUCA
RNAcentral lists this ribosomal RNA (664 nucleotides) under uncultured Vibrionaceae bacterium. RNAcentral describes it as "bacterial SSU rRNA". It matches the Rfam family "Bacterial small subunit ribosomal RNA", at positions 28 to 671 of the family's 1533-position model. The record is from RNAcentral. Lineage: Bacteria; Pseudomonadati; Pseudomonadota; Gammaproteobacteria; Vibrionales; Vibrionaceae.